CACGUAGGGUGCGAGCGUUGUCCGGAAUUAUUGGGCGUAAAGAGCUCGUAGGCGGUGUGUCGCGUCGGCCGUGAAAACCUGCAGCUUAACUGUGGGCUUGCGGUCGAUACGGGCAUCACUGGAGUUCGGCAGGGGAGACUGGAAUUCCUGGUGUAGCGGUGGAAUGCGCAGAUAUCAGGAGGAACACCGGUGGCGAAGGCGGGUCUCUGGGCCGAU
RNAcentral lists this ribosomal RNA (216 nucleotides) under uncultured bacterium. RNAcentral's name for it is "partial 16S ribosomal RNA". It matches the Rfam family "Bacterial small subunit ribosomal RNA", at positions 524 to 738 of the family's 1533-position model. The record is from RNAcentral.